UAGGGAAUCUUCCACAAUGGACGCAAGUCUGAUGGAGCAACGCCGCGUGAGUGAAGAAGGUUUUCGGAUCGUAAAGCUCUGUUGUUGGUGAAGAAGGAUAGAGGCAGUAACUGGUCUUUAUUUGACGGUAAUCAACCAGAAAGUCGCGGCUAACUACGUGCCAC
RNAcentral lists this ribosomal RNA (164 nucleotides) under uncultured bacterium. RNAcentral describes it as "partial 16S rRNA". It matches the Rfam family "Bacterial small subunit ribosomal RNA", at positions 355 to 511 of the family's 1533-position model. The record is from RNAcentral.